This 269-nucleotide ribosomal RNA is filed under the name uncultured prokaryote. RNAcentral describes it as "partial 16S ribosomal RNA". It matches the Rfam family "Bacterial small subunit ribosomal RNA", at positions 524 to 792 of the family's 1533-position model. The record is from RNAcentral.
CACGAACCGUACGAACGUUAUUCGGAAUCACUGGGCUUAAAGAGUGCGUAGGCGGCUUGGCAGGUUGGGUGUGAAAGCCCUCGGCUCAACCGAGGAAUUGCGCUCAAAACCGUCAAGCUUGAGGGAGAUAGAGGUGAGCGGAACUGAUGGUGGAGCGGUGAAAUGCGUUGAUAUCAUCAGGAACACCGGUGGCGAAAGCGGCUCACUGGGUCUCUUCUGACGCUGAGGCACGAAAGCUAGGGGAGCGAACGGGAUUAGAUACCCCCGUA